RNAcentral lists this unclassified non-coding RNA (339 nucleotides) under fungal sp. RNAcentral describes it as "partial internal transcribed spacer region". The stretch from base 1 to 46 matches the Rfam family "Eukaryotic small subunit ribosomal RNA", at positions 1786 to 1831 of the family's 1831-position model. Lineage: Eukaryota; Fungi. RNAcentral also lists the same sequence under 1 other name. The record is from RNAcentral.
AAGUCGUAACAAGGUUUCCGUAGGUGAACCUGCGGAAGGAUCAUUAACACUUUUUAUCCAAAAAAUAAAACUAAACGUGAACUUUUCCCCUCCCUAUAUCAAUUUACAAAAAAACUGAUAUAGGCUAACCUUUUUUAUUUUAUUUAAAACCACUUAAAUUUUUUAUAAGUCUUAUUGUUUGUAAAGCUUAACUGCCUACAAAUAAUUAAAAAAAAAGACUGACUAACUAAAAAUUUUACUUAAGAUGUCACUAUGUUGAUCUCUUAAUUAAUAUUUUUUCUUUACGAAAUAAAUAUUACUAUAUAAGAACAACUCUUAGCAAUGGAUAUCUUGGUUCUC